GGUUAGAUAACAUAAUUGGUUAAUGUAAAGGACUGCAAAUCCUUUAAUGACGGUUCAAAUCCGUCUCUAACUU
This 73-nucleotide transfer RNA is filed under the name Aphanomyces invadans. RNAcentral describes it as "tRNA-Cys". It matches the Rfam family "tRNA". Rfam says of the family: Transfer RNA (tRNA) molecules are approximately 80 nucleotides in length. Their secondary structure includes four short double-helical elements and three loops (D, anti-codon, and T loops). The record is from RNAcentral. Lineage: Eukaryota; Oomycota; Saprolegniomycetes; Saprolegniales; Verrucalvaceae.